Long non-coding RNA from Galleria mellonella (greater wax moth), 2756 nucleotides. RefSeq lists it as uncharacterized. The transcript is spliced from 2 exons. The record is from RefSeq and is a predicted model, not a curated record. NCBI's taxonomy places the organism in Eukaryota, Metazoa, Arthropoda, Insecta, Lepidoptera, Pyralidae.
UGUCAAGUCGAGCAUCUCCAUCGUCUACAGCGUCGUCUAUCACGGCUGCAUCUUCGCCUUCGUAUUCUGCUUCCUCUAUGUCACUAGAAAAAGAUAGAAGAGUAUUUAUAAAUUUUCUCAUAAGAGACUUUGAUACAGGCGCCGAUCUGCAAAACGUCGGCGACAGGAACAACAUCCACAAUAGAACAGGCGUUAUAAAGCAACGCAUUUUUUUAUAUUUUAAUAAUUCGCAAUAAAAAUCUAUUAUAAAAUCUGACAGUGAUUAGCACCAACUAUUGGAGCUUUUUGCCGAUGCUUCAUUUGUUUAAAUAUUCUUCAAAGACAAAAAAUAAAAAAGAAAUUAUACACUCUAAAGAGGAUUUAAUAUUCAUUUUAUAUUAGUCCAUAAUAAUCCCAUAUAAAAAGUCGCUUUCUAGAUAACAAUUAUAGAAUUUUAACUCGUUCAUUACCUUAGUAAUUAAGAUUUUUUUACUGAAAAUUAAAAAUGCGUGCAAUAUAAUAACAUUGAUUCUGAUUGCAGUUUGCAUGCAGAAAUUAUUUUGAAGCUAUAGGUGGAAUUAAGUUAUAGAAAAUCCAGAAGUAUUAUAUCUGUGCUUACUGAUAUUGUAUACUGUUUUUUUUUUCAAAAUAAAAUAACUAAUUUGCAGGAUAAAGUAAAAACACGCAAAUACUUACAACAAUUUUAUUUUAAAUGAGACCGUUUCAUCUCUAUCACACUUAUUAUGUACAUUUUGGUUUAAAUAAAACAAACCUUUGAAAUUUUACUGCAAAAUCCUCGUUAAGUUUGUGCAUAUUUGAGAAAAAACAUUUAUGUCCUAGAUUUAAUGUCAUACAAAUAGAUCAAAUAGUUAAAAGGAUUUGUAGAAAUAGUCGAUCACACAUUUUGGUGUCUCGUUGCUUCCAAAUGAAAGCUUUCUCAUACCUGCACAUGUACAUUAUACCCUACGUUACCUAAAUACGUAACCUAACUCCAAAAUGCAAAAGGUAAAAAAAAAAACCAAAAGAUUUUACAACUAUGAGUACAUCAAAUGCAAUGAGGCAAUAGAAAAUAGGUCGCCUACUGCCAGAUCUCUGAUCCAACACAACAUUACUGGGUAGAGAAUAAGUAAUUUUGAAAUUUGGCAUUGCACUCCUAAUGAUAGAAAACAAUAAAAUAAUGUAACAAUUCGUAUAACAUUGAAUUAAUAUAAUGAAUCACAUCGUAUGGCAUGUUGAUAAAAUUCCAAAAUAUAAAACACAGUAAUAUUGCCUCUGACUUAGACUCGAGUCCUACCCAAGACUCUCAGGUCCAUACAUACUCUGCAUUUGGCAGACACUAGCUUAUAACAUGUACAUAAUGUAUUUAAUUUAGAAAACACUAUUUUAAAAUUUAUGAAAAGAAACUUACUUUAUCAUCUGAUUAGGCUUUGCUAUGAUUUAUGUUGUGCUUUUUUUAAUUUAUCACAUUUAUAGUACAUACUACUUUAUACAGUACAUUACAUCUGUCAUACAGUAUUAUAACCUUAUAUGGGAAUUGAAAGUAAACUUUGAAGGAUAGUAACAAUAUGAACAUUGUUUAUUGUGUACAAUAUUCAAAACGCAAAUUCAAACAUUAACUACUUGUGAUUGGUGUAACUGUAGAAGAACAGAAGAGUACAAACAAACACUUCUACACAAAUAAGUAACCUAUUACUUAAUUAUUAACCGAACCAUUCCGUUACUCAUACAUAGAUGUAUGCGAAUUGUAUUCAUUUGGAAUGGAAUUAAAACAGUAUGAACGCCGGUUCAUUUGUUUACGCCAAAAAACAGGGUCUAUUUCCAUUUGAAACUCGUAACUUGAUGACUAGACUCUUAAAAAACAAUAAAAUGAGCAUUUAUAAAACAAAACACGUGUCUACUUUCGAAUCAGCGCGUUCGCAAUAUUAAUUUCUAAAUUAUAUAUUCGCACUAAAUUAUAUAUUUGUACAUUUUUCAUCUUGACAAUAAAGUCACUAACAUUAUAAACAUUAAAGAGAGAAGGUAGAAACUUAAACAGCAAUUAAUAUUGCGAGUGCACAGAAUGCCUAACAACUAUAUGCUUUAGAAACUUAACAUCUACUUAAAGUUUUAGGUCAGUUAUUUCAAACCGUGCGAACAUACACACGGGCCCAGUGUCGAGUAUUCAUUACAAACACCCUAAAAUAAUUAUGACCGAUAUCAAAAUGUAACAAAUAGUGAAAUAAAAAAUUUCUCGUUGUAGAGUCUCGCAUCCCACUCUUACCUACAUACACAAGAAAGCCUAUACAAGUGGUGAAUAAUCCCAGUUUUAAAUACGUUUCAUACAAUAAGACAGCAUCUUAACAUUUCUGAAUAAUUGUUUAAAAGUGCUCUUUCUAGAGUAUCUUAAAAUUUUAACAAUAAAUUAACAAUAAAAUUGACACUAAAAACUUAUCUGUAAUUUUAUAGUAGUUGUUUAUUUCUGCUUUACCCGCGUGAACCUGUCAUCUCGGGUGAAUUUUCGGAAAUUAUAUUAUUUUAAUUUCAAGAUCUAUUCUAUGAGAUGGUCUAUUAUUAAGAUGGUGGUCUUAUAUAUUUUUCUAUAUAUACAUUAUGAUGUUUACAAAAACUCUUACCAUCACCAUUUUAAUAACAAACUUAAAAGAUUUUAGUUUGGUAUCAAAUCAUUUACUUUAAUAAUCAUUUAGAAAUACUUUAAGAUGUAUAAUCAUUUCUGGAAGUUAAUAAAGCUAUUGUCCAGUGGCCUAGUCUUUUAAUAAACCCCUGUUAAUAUAAAAAAA